CUACGGGAGGCACCAGUGAGGAAUAUUGCACAAUGGGGGGAACCCUGAUGCAGCAACGCCGCGUGGAGGAUGACGCAUUUCGGUGUGUAAACUCCUUUUAUAUGUCAAGAAAAUGACGGUAGCAUAUGAAUAAGCACCGGCUAACUCCGUGCCAGCAGCCGCGGUAAUACGGAGGGUGCAAGCGUUACUCGGAAUCACUGGGCGUAAAGGACGCGUAGGCGGGUUGGAAAGUCAGGUGUGAAAUGCUACAGCUUAACUGUAGAACUGCACUUGAAACUUCUAAUCUAGAGUAUGGGAGGGGGAGAUGGAAUUAGUAGUGUAGGGGUAAAAUCCGUAGAUAUCACUAGGAAUACCUAAAGCGAAGGCGACCUCCUGGAACAUUACUGACGCUAAGGCGUGAAAGCGUGGGGAGCAAACAGGAUUAGAUACCCGCGUAGUC
RNAcentral lists this ribosomal RNA (439 nucleotides) under uncultured bacterium. RNAcentral's name for it is "partial 16S ribosomal RNA". It matches the Rfam family "Bacterial small subunit ribosomal RNA", at positions 339 to 795 of the family's 1533-position model. The record is from RNAcentral.